This 253-nucleotide ribosomal RNA is filed under the name uncultured bacterium. RNAcentral describes it as "partial 16S ribosomal RNA". It matches the Rfam family "Bacterial small subunit ribosomal RNA", at positions 524 to 776 of the family's 1533-position model. The record is from RNAcentral.
GACGAACCACACGAACGUUAUUCGGAAUCACUGGGCUUAAAGGGUGCGUAGGCUGCGCAGAAAGUUGGGUGUGAAAUACCUCGGCUCAACCGAGGAACUGCGCCCAAAACUACUGUGCUCGAGGGAGAUAGAGGUGAGCGGAACUUAGGGUGGAGCGGUGAAAUGCGUUGAUAUCCUAAGGAACACCCGUGGCGAAAGCGGCUCACUGGAUCUCUUCUGACGCUGAGGCACGAAAGCUAGGGUAGCGAACGGG